UGGGGAAUAUUGCACAAUGGACGAAAGUCUGAUGCAGCAACGCCGCGUGGAGGAUGACACAUUUCGGUGCGUAAACUCCUUUUAUAUGAGAAGAUAAUGACGGUAUUAUAUGAAUAAGCACCGGCUAACUCCGUGCCAGCAGCCGCGGUAAUACGGGGGGUGCAAGCGUUACUCGGAAUCACUGGGCGUAAAGAGCAUGUAGGCGGAUUAAUAAGUUUGAAGUGAAAUCCUAUAGCUUAACUAUAGAACUGCUUUGAAAACUGUUAAUCUAGAAUGUGGGAGAGGUAGAUGGAAUUUCUGGUGUAGGGGUAAAAUCCGUAGAGAUCAGAAGGAAUACCGAUUGCGAAGGCGAUCUACUGGAACAUUAUUGACGCUGAGAUGCGAAAGCGUGGGGAGCAAACA
RNAcentral lists this ribosomal RNA (402 nucleotides) under uncultured bacterium. Its description in RNAcentral is "bacterial SSU rRNA". It matches the Rfam family "Bacterial small subunit ribosomal RNA", at positions 355 to 774 of the family's 1533-position model. RNAcentral also lists the same sequence under 1 other name. The record is from RNAcentral.